AGCUAGUUGGUAGGGUAACGGCCUACCAAGGCAACGACGGGUAGGGGGUCUGAGAGGAUGACCCCCCACACUGGAACUGAAACACGGUCCAGACGCCUACGGGUGGCAGCAGGGAGGAAUAUUGGGCAAUGGGCGAAAGCCUGACCCAGCAACGCCGCGUGGAGGAUGAAAGCCUUCGGGUUGUAAACUCCUUUUGAGGGAGACGAGAAAGGACGGUAUCCCUCGAAUAAGUCACGGCUAUCUACGUGCCAGCAGCCGCGGUAAAACGUAGGUGACGAGCGUUAUCCGGAUUUACUGGGCGUAAAGAGCUUGUAGGUGGCUCUGUAAGUUGGGUAUGAAAGCCCCGGGCUUAACUCGGGGAGGUUGCUCAAUACUGCAGGGCUUGAGGAUGUCAGAGGGAAGUGGAAUUCCUGGUGUAGCAGUGAAAUGCGUAGAUAUCAGGAGGAACACCCGUGGCGAAGGCGGCUUCCUGGGGCACUCCUGACACUGAGAAGCGAAAGCUAGGGGAGCGAACGGGAUUAGAAACCCCGGUAGUCCUAGCUGUAAACGAUGGAUGCUAGGUGUUGGCAGAUCUAACCCUGUCAGUGCCAAAGCUAACGCGUUAAGCAUCCCGCCUGGGAACUACGAGCGCAAGCUUAAAACUCAAAGGAAUUGACGGGGACCCGCACAAGCAGCGAGCGUGUGGUUUAAUUCGAUCUACACGAAGAACCUCACCCAGGUUUGACAUACAGGUGGUAGUGAAGCGAAAGCGGAACGACCCGCAAGGGAGCCUGUACAGGUGUUGCAUGGCUGUCGUCAGCUCGUGUCGUGAGAUGUUGGUUUAAGUACCCUAACGAGCGCAACCCUCGUUGCCAGUUACAAGUGUCUGGCGAGACUGCCGGCCACAAGCCGGAGGAAGGCGGGGACGACGUCAAGUCAGCAUGGCCUUUAUAUCUGGGGCUACACACACGCUACAAUGGGUGACUACAAUGGGUAGCCAAGCUGUGAGGCGGAGCCAAUCCCAUAAAAUCAUCCUCAGUUCAGAUUGCAGGCUGCAACCCGCCUGCAUGAAGUCGGAGUUGCUAGUAAACGCGCGUCAGCUAUAGUGCGUUGAAUACGUUCCCGGGUCUUGUACACACCGCCCGUCACACUAUGGGAGCUGGCAACACCUGAAGCCGGUAGCGUAACCGCAAGGAGCGCGCCGUCAAAGGUGGGGCUGGUGACUGGAGUGAAGUCGUAACAAGGUAGCUGUACGGGAACGUGCGGCUG
Molecule: ribosomal RNA, 1248 nt
Filed under: metagenome
Description: bacterial SSU rRNA
Rfam family: Bacterial small subunit ribosomal RNA
Source: RNAcentral